UACGGAGGAUGCGAGCGUUAUCCAGAUUUAUUGGGUUUAAAGGGUGCGUAGGCGGUCCGUUAAGUCAGCGGUAAAAUUGCGGGGCUCAACCCCGUCGAGCCGUUGAAACUGGCAGACUUGAGUUGGCGAGAAGUACGCGGAAUGCGCGGUGUAGCGGUGAAAUGCAUAGAUAUCGCGCAGAACUCCGAUUGCGAAGGCAGCGUACCGGCGCCAGACUGACGCUGAGGCACGAAAGCGUGGGGAUCGAACAGG
RNAcentral lists this ribosomal RNA (252 nucleotides) under uncultured bacterium. RNAcentral describes it as "partial 16S ribosomal RNA". It matches the Rfam family "Bacterial small subunit ribosomal RNA", at positions 524 to 776 of the family's 1533-position model. The record is from RNAcentral.